CUACGGGACGCUGCAGUGAGGAAUUUUGCGCAAUGGGGGCAACCCUGAUGCAGCAACGCCGCGUGGAGGAUGACGCAUUUCGGUGUGUAAACUCCUUUUAUAUGUCAAGAAAAUGACGGUAGCAUAUGAAUAAGCACCGGCUAACUCCGUGCCAGCAGCCGCGGUAAUACGGAGGGUGCAAGCGUUACUCGGAAUCACUGGGCGUAAAGGACGCGUAGGCGGGUUGGAAAGUCAGGUGUGAAAUCCUACAGCUUAACUGUAGAACUGCACUUGAAACUUCUAAUCUAGAGUAUGGGAGGGGGAGAUGGAAUUAGUGGUGUAGGGGUAAAAUCCGUAGAUAUCACUAGGAAUACCUAAAGCGAAGGCGAUCUCCUGGAACAUUACUGACGCUAAGGCGUGAAAGCGUGGGGAGCAAACAGGAUUAGAUACCCGCGUAGUC
Molecule: ribosomal RNA, 439 nt
Filed under: uncultured bacterium
Lineage: Bacteria
Description: partial 16S ribosomal RNA
Rfam family: Bacterial small subunit ribosomal RNA
Source: RNAcentral